This 589-nucleotide ribosomal RNA is filed under the name uncultured bacterium. Its description in RNAcentral is "bacterial SSU rRNA". It matches the Rfam family "Bacterial small subunit ribosomal RNA", at positions 338 to 944 of the family's 1533-position model. The record is from RNAcentral.
CCUACGGGAGGCAGCAGUGGGGAAUCUUGCGCAAUGGGCGAAAGCCUGACGCAGCAACGCCGCGUGCGGGAAGAAGGCUUUCGGGCUGUAAACCGCUUUCAGCAGGAACGAAAAUGACGGUACCUGCAGAAGAAGGAGCGGCCAACUAUGUGCCAGCAGCCGCGGUGAUACAUAGGCUUCAAGCGUUGUCCGGAUUUAUUGGGCGUAAAGAGUUCGUAGGCGGUCGAGUAAGUCGGGUGUGAAAAUUCUGGGCUCAACCCAGAGACGCCACCCGAUACUGCUUGACUUGAGUUCGAUAGGGGAGUGGGGAAUUCCUAGUGUAGCGGUGAAAUGCGCAGAUAUUAGGAGGAACACCGGUGGCGAAGGCGCCACUCUGGAUCGAUACUGACGCUGAGGAACGAAAGCAUGGGUAGCAAACAGGAUUAGAUACCCUGGUAGUCCAUGCCGUAAACGGUGGGCACUAGGUGUGGGAUUCUAUUAACGAAUUCCGCGCCGUCGCUAACGCAUUAAGUGCCCCGCCUGGGGAGUACGGUCGCAAGCAAACUCAAAGGAAUUGACGGNNGAGAGNGCGAGCGCGACGAGGGAGAGG